Molecule: long non-coding RNA, 456 nt
Filed under: Bos taurus (domestic cattle)
Lineage: Eukaryota; Metazoa; Chordata; Mammalia; Artiodactyla; Bovidae
Description: long non-coding RNA NONBTAT018509
Source: RNAcentral
GGCAUUCAAAGCCUCAUUCCCUCCAGGAAGGCCCUGAACAUGCUUCUCUUAAGUCCUAACAUACUCUGUAUAUGUCACUUAUAUACUUUAAAUGCUUGCUAUAUAAUGUGGAAGACUGAGGGCAUUUGGAAAUCUUAAAUUCAACCCCGUAACCUUGGAGCAAUCUUUGCCACAUCUGAAAACAUUGUAUGUAACACUCCUGAAAACAUUAUAUGCAGUGCUUGAAGCAAAUAGAAAAAUAAUCUCUAGCAUAGUACAAGCCUAGAAUUUCAUACCCAAAGGACUAAAUUGAAGCAAAUGCUUAUAAAUUGCACUCAGGGUAAUAAAUGACAUCUUUGUGUUCUCUUGUCAGAAAUUGGUGGUGAAUUCUCAUUUUCGUUCCUCAGACCAUUUGGCUGUUUUGCAUUAGGGUUUCUCUGAAUCUGAAUGUGGGUUUAGUAGAAUUUCAUGUCUACA